Molecule: ribosomal RNA, 1497 nt
Filed under: metagenome
Description: bacterial LSU rRNA
Rfam family: Bacterial large subunit ribosomal RNA
Source: RNAcentral
GGUCGUAGGCGAUGGACAACAGGUUGAUAUUCCUGUACUACCUUUAGCGUUAAAACGAGGCAGUGACACAGGAGGAUAGGCAGAGCGGGUUGAUGGUAGAACCCGUCCAAGCAUUUAGGGAGACAGAGUAGUGAAGUACGCUUUGUUGAUAAUUCUGAGAUGUGAUGGGGACAGAAAAUAAGUAUGGAAGCUGCUGAAUCCACACUGGCGAGAAAAGCUGCUAGGAGCGAAGAGGUACCCGUACCGCAAACCGACACAGGUAGGCGAGGAGAGAAUCCUAAGAUGAGCGAGAUAACCAUUGUUAAGGAACUCGGCAAAAUGACCCCGUAACUUAGGGAGAAGGGGUGCCUAGAAAUAGGUCGCAGAGAAUAGGUCCAAGCGACUGUUUAGCAAAAACACAGGUCUGUGCGAAAUCGAGAGAUGAAGUAUACGGGCCGACGCCUGCCCAGUGCCGGAAGGUUAAGGGGAAAUGUUAGUCGAAAGGCGAAGCAUGGAACUUAAGCCCCGGUGAACGGCGGCCGUAACUAUAACGGUCCUAAGGUAGCGAAAUUCCUUGUCAGGUAAGUUCUGACCCGCACGAAUGGCGUAACGAUUUGGACGCUGUCUCAACAAUGGACUCGGCGAAAUUGUAGUACCGGUGAAGAUGCCGGUUACCCGCGAUAGGACGGAAAGACCCCGUAGAGCUUUACUGUAGCUUGGCAUUGGAUUUCGGCAUUGGAUGUACAGGAUAGGUGGGAGACAUGGAAGCGAGUACGCCAGUAUUCGUGGAGUCGCCCUUGGGAUACCACUCUUCUGAUGUUGAGGUUCUAACAACAGGCCGUGAUCCGGCUGUUGGACAGUACCAGGUGGGCAGUUUGACUGGGGCGGUCGCCUCCCAAAGAGUAACGGAGGCGCCCAAAGGUCUCUUCAGCAUGGUCGGAAAUCAUGCAUUAGAGUGCAAAGGCAUAAAGAGGCUUGACUGCGAGAGAGACAUUUCGAGCAGGUACGAAAGUAGGGCUUAGUGAUCCGGCGGUAUGAGAGUGGAAUUGCCGUCGCUCAACGGAUAAAAGCUACCUCGGGGAUAACAGGCUUAUCUCCCCCAAGAGUCCACAUCGACGGGGAGGUUUGGCACCUCGAUGUCGGCUCGUCGCAUCCUGGGGCUGUAGUAGGUCCCAAGGGUUUGGCUGUUCGCCAAUUAAAGCGGCACGCGAGCUGGGUUCAGAACGUCGUGAGACAGUUCGGUCCCUAUCCAUCGUGGGCGUAAGAAGUUUGAGAGGAGCUGUUCUUAGUACGAGAGGACCGGGAUGGACGCACCGCUGGUGUACCAGUUGUUCUGCCAAGGGCAUAGCUGGGUAGCUAAGUGCGGACGGGAUAAGCGCUGAAGGCAUCUAAGCGUGAAGCCCCCCUCAAGAUGAGACUUCUCAUCCUUUAAGGAGUAAGACCCCUUGUAGACUAUGAGGUUGAUAGGCCGCGGGUGUAAGUGCAGUAAUGUAUUUAGCUGAGCGGUACUAAUAGGUC